GGAGCUAUAUCGGGGAGCAUUGGAGUGGGCUCGAGAUUAGUGGAUGGCGGGUAGUUGUCUUGGCCUAGACUUCU
RNAcentral lists this transfer RNA (74 nucleotides) under Azumapecten farreri. Its description in RNAcentral is "tRNA-Ser". The record is from RNAcentral. Lineage: Eukaryota; Metazoa; Mollusca; Bivalvia; Pectinida; Pectinidae.